Molecule: ribosomal RNA, 417 nt
Filed under: Triticum aestivum (bread wheat)
Lineage: Eukaryota; Viridiplantae; Streptophyta; Magnoliopsida; Poales; Poaceae
Description: partial small subunit ribosomal RNA
Source: RNAcentral
AUGCAUAGAUGCACACACACGCAUGCCUCCACGCUCACGAAACAUCAAGUUGCGGAGCUUAAAAAUGGUCGAAGUCACCGGAGACGCCUCGCUAUAUCAACGGAUACGUCACCCACCGGCGAAGUCAGAAAUUUACCCUGGGGCACCAGAGGAUGCUCAGCACGUAUGCAGGAGGAAAUGUUGUCAUAUACAGGAGGUACACAUGACAUACCUGAAGUGCAUUCCACCUCCCCAGCAACUCGUACUCAGCGCCAUCAAUGGCCGUACUGCCGAUACCAGCAGCACCUGCCGGAUCCGACAACCAUGUUGUCGACAUUGCCGCGGCUAUGGAGCCACCACAGAAGGUUCGUCAGUGUGUUACCGUCGUCGUGUGAUGCCAGUGCCCUGGUCUUGGCCAAUGCCGACUCCUUGUCGUAA